ACAAAGUUUUGAGUCGUCGACCGUUGCGGACGGAAAUUCAGAUUAGGAUCUGUGUUAAUUUAGUAAAAUAUAAAGUUAACCGCGCGUUCCGUAAUUCCACUCACACACAUACCAACACCCAAGCAGCAGCAGUAGCCGCAGCGGAUUAAAACUUCGUCACUCUAGCAACAAACAGAAAAAAAAAACACCUACAAAAAUGUUUUUGCGAAAAAUCAAAGUCAGACAGCGACCCCCAGGGCUAUUGCCAUUAGUGCGAGCGGGAGGAGCGAAUCGCUUCCAAUUAGACGUUGUUUAUAUGGUUUUAACGGCUUUUCACACACACACACUCGCUACACACAUCCCAGCACACCAAACACCCCGUCGAAAAGCAGCUGUCCCCGGGAAAUUCGUUUACAUUUUGCACCCCAAAAAUAUAUCGCCUCACGGGUAGAAAAAACCAGUUUUUUCAACAACCCAAUAUCGUUGAUUUAGAAACAAGAAAUUGCGAACACCAUGCAACCCCUUGAAAAUAUGGUAGUUUAUACCCCUUUCACAAUGAAACAUAAUCAAAAUCCAUAAAACUGCAUUGAGAAAAAGUGAAUGCAAUCAUUUGAAAUUAAGUUUAUACUUAAACUAGUAUAUUUAAGCUGCAAGAUUUUCAUGUUCUUAACCUGACUUAAUCAAAUGUUCAACUUUGGCCCCUAGGGUCACAGAAAACAAGCAGCACAAUUAAAUAGCAAUGCCAAUAGCAAGAAUUU
Non-coding RNA from Drosophila melanogaster (fruit fly), 737 nucleotides. NCBI's taxonomy places the organism in Eukaryota, Metazoa, Arthropoda, Insecta, Diptera, Drosophilidae. The record is from Ensembl.